UUUGUUUUUUAAUUUAAAACUAGAAUGAAAGGUUUAACGUUUUAACUUCCUUAUUAUUUAUAUCUAUUUAAUUUAUAUUAAAUAUAAAAAGAUAUUUAUUUAAUAUUUAGACGACAAGACCCUAUUGAACUUAAUUUAAAUUUAGCUGGGGCAGCUAAUUAAUUAAAAUUUUAAGUUACUUUACAAAAAUCCAAUAAAAUUGAAUUAAUCAAGUUACCAUAGGGAUAACAGCAUAAUUUAAAUUUUAAGAUCAUAUUAAAAUUGAAUCUUAUGACCUCGAUGUUGAAUUAAAAUUACUUUAUAUAGUGCAGUAACUAUAAAAGUAGGUCUGUUCGACCUUUAAUAUUUUACAUGAUUUGAGUUCAAACCGGUGUAAACCAGGUUGGUUUCUAUCUAAUUAAUUAUUUAUCUAGUACGAAAGGACAAAUAAAUAUAUUAAUUAAAUUAGCAAAUAAUUGCAAUAGAUUUAGAAUCUACUCCUACUUUA
Molecule: ribosomal RNA, 487 nt
Filed under: Echinotheridion otlum
Lineage: Eukaryota; Metazoa; Arthropoda; Arachnida; Araneae; Theridiidae
Description: partial 16S ribosomal RNA
Rfam family: Archaeal large subunit ribosomal RNA (bases 105-398)
Source: RNAcentral